GGACUGCCGCAACAUAUGUCUGUCCUCCUGUGACGCAGCUUGAUUUCGCCUUUGGUUUUCACCAUCUAAAGGAGGGUUUGUAGCGUGCAAUGAUUGAGCCUAAAGUGAGAGGUGAGGACGUCCCUCUGUGUGGGAAACAUGACAGCCAGACCACAGCUCAGAGAUUGAGUACAGACUUCCCUACAUCCUGGAGGACUCGUGUGAGUUCAAUGAGUCCACUCCUUAAUUUCAGAGGAAGGUCGGCUCGCAUAGUCCUUCAGGAGAGUCCAAGUGUUGUCUCGAUGCAGAAUGAUUCUUCACAAGGACAUUCUGCAAAUCGAUGAAGGACACCCCUCUCCUCCAGAGAAAGACAAGAUGAUCCAGGAGUCGAUCCAUGUCGACGGUUGGAUGGACUCUUUCCUGAAGCACGUGCUGGAAACAACUGGUGUGUUUACAAGGUCGUGUCUGCUGCUGAUGAAUGUUCUGAAAUGUUCUCUUUAAUGGUAUACUAUGCAGCAAAGUCAGUACCUCCCUGCCUUCUCAAAAGAGCCAAAGAGAGAGAGAGAAAGAGAGAGAGAGAGCAGUUCACAUCGAGCAAACUUUACAGUAAAAAAGAGAAAAUCCAGGUAAAGUGCAGGGUCCCUGCAGUUAGACACUGCCAGAAAUGAUUGACAGGGAUUAUUUUUUGUUUAGGUCUAUACAUUGUUUACUUUGUUUACUGUGUGGUUGUGUUACAUAUUAGACCUGUCAACAGAGAAUUUCUUUAGUUUUUUUUGCUUCCAUUUGAAGCACAUUUGCUGCUUUAAAGAAUCAGUACAGGACAUUCAGAACAUUAAUAUAACAGUUAACAGCUAUUUAUUAUGUAAAGAUAUAGUGGUGUAAUUUGUUGUCGAUGUGGUCUGAUUCUAUAUCACAUUCAAAAAUGUAUCAAUAUAUUUUUUGUAUCAAUUUAUCCCCCAGCCCUACUGGGAAUGAGAUUGAGCCUCGUGGGGGAAAUUCCUGGUCGGAGUCUGAACCAUUGAAAUGCUCGGGCAAAUUCACAAAAGGAUUGUAAGGCUUUUGCGGCCGCUAAACAUGUUCAAAUCAGGCAGAAACAAAUUCUCAAAGCAAGGGCAAUGGGUGAAUUGAGCCUCUAACUGCGUUGCCAAUUUAUUUCUAUUUGCAUGUAUUUAUAUGAGAUAAUAUGCAAACGUUGGUGCAAAAUGUACCCCUUUCGAUUCAAAUGAGCCUGAUUGCAACAAAAAAAAAAUUCACAAACUCCAGCGCUAACAGUCACAUGCAGUUAGAAAUUAUUAGCGUCUUCAGAGAGUUGCUGGUAAAUGACCCGCAUUUAUGAGGACAAAUUAAAGGUCGACUCAGACUCCUUUAUUUUGCGAUUCAGUGACAGGACGCACGUCUCAGCUCCCCUACAGGUUAUUUUUGAAAAUACAUGAAAAAUGAAUGUAAAAUAAUGUUAAUCAACAAAUAGAUGUCAGGCUCAUUCUGACCAAGGUUAUUAUAGUUAACGAAAACUAACGAAAUAAAGAAAACUAGAAUUGAAAAAACAUUUUCGUUAAUUGAAAUAAAAAUAAAAACUAGAGUUUUUAAAAAAACGAUAACUAACUGAAACUGUAUUGUGUGGUUACAAAACUAACUAAAACUAACUAAAAUUAUCGUGACAAUGUCCUUAGUUUUCGUUUUUGUCAACUUUUUUCAUACAUAAUUCAGUGUUUCUAUUUGAACAUGCAACACAUGGUAAAUAUGUUUACUGAGACUGGGAUGUUGACACUAGAACCAAAAUUCAAAACACCCAGAACUAUAAGAGUAAAUAACCUUAUUGGGGCUGAGAUGAUAAACCAAAGGAAAUAAAGGCAAAAUUUAUUAUGACCUCUUUGAAUCUCGUACCCAACACAUAGCCCAUUACAAAAAAACUAAAACAAACACUAAAACUAAUAAAAACUAAACUAAAACUAAGCAUUUUCAAAAACUAAAAACUAAACUAAAACUAGAAAACUCACUCUAAAAACUAACUAAAACUAACUAACUAACUAAUUUGAAAACAAAAAUUCACAACGAAAUUAAAACUAAAACGAAUGAAAAAUCCAAAACUAUUAUAACCUUGAUUCUGACUCUUGUGAUGUCACACAGCUGAUGCGCUCACAUACGCUCACUGUGUGAAAGUGGACUGUGUGAGUGUGCGUUAUCUUUUGGAUGUGUAGAGGAGCUCAGAACAUUAAUUAAUAUGAGGUCUUGUCUGAUCGUCUGGUCUGUCUUUGGAGAUUUAAAUAAUCAAUGGAGCUACACUGUUGUUUCUCUCUUAUCUCUGAAGACACACACAAAAAUAACACAGCCCAUGUGUAAAAAGGAGGCAAAACUGUGCUCAGCUUCAAAACUUUAUGGGUGUUUACACUGUGAUAUAAUAAGGGCAAUAUCCUUCUGAAUCUGAGGCAGAUAUCGGUUGCAAGUAAUGGAGGGAAUUCAUGGUGCUACCAGCGGCCGCAAUCCAUUCUUUGUGAAUUCUCCCCAUUGUAUGUUGUGUACUGCACCUUUAAAUGUUUCAGGAUCGCUGUUAAUAACAUCACCAAGUACUCACUAAGCCAGAGUUUUUUACCUGCACUUUCAGUGAAAAUGACUUCUAGGCCUUUAGUUGGGUUACACCCCUUCUAAUGAAAUGUUUUUUCUUUAUUUUUAAGAGUUAAUUUGUGGGAUUUCUUGCCUUCUUAAUGUGUUUGAGAGCAUCAAAGCAAAAGAUUAAAGGCUACUCUGAAGAAUCUAAAAUAUAAAACAUUCUGGUUUGUUUCACACUUUUUUGUUUGCUACACAAUUCCAUAUCAUCACUCCAUCAUAGUUAUGAUGUCUUCAAUAUUUAUCUACAAUGUAGACAAAAAUACUAAAAAUAAAGAAAAACCAUCAA
This is a long non-coding RNA of Centropristis striata (black sea bass), 2872 nucleotides long. RefSeq lists it as uncharacterized. The record is from RefSeq and is a predicted model, not a curated record. Lineage: Eukaryota; Metazoa; Chordata; Actinopteri; Perciformes; Serranidae. The transcript has 5 exons.